Molecule: small nuclear RNA, 100 nt
Filed under: Sorex araneus (European shrew)
Lineage: Eukaryota; Metazoa; Chordata; Mammalia; Eulipotyphla; Soricidae
Source: RNAcentral
GUGCUCACUUCAGCAACACAUAUGCUAAAAUUGGAACAAUAGAUUAGCCUGGCCCCUAUGCCUGGAUAACAUGCAAAUUCAUGAGGGGCUCAUUGUUUUC